GCAAGUCGAGCGGUAACAGAGAUAGCUUGCUAUCUGCUGACGACCGGCGCACGGGUGCGUAACGCGUAUACAAUCUGCCUUACACUAAGGGAUAGCCCAGAGAAAUUUGGAUUAAUACCUUAUAGUUUAUUAGAAUGGCAUCAUUUUAAUAAUAAAGAUUACGGUGUAAGAUGAGUAUGCGUCCCAUUAGUUUGUUGGUAAGGUAACGGCUUACCAAGACUACGAUGGGUAGGGGCCCUGAGAGGGGGAUC
Molecule: ribosomal RNA, 251 nt
Filed under: uncultured bacterium
Lineage: Bacteria
Description: partial 16S ribosomal RNA
Rfam family: Bacterial small subunit ribosomal RNA
Source: RNAcentral